This is a non-coding RNA of Cyanistes caeruleus (blue tit), 2205 nucleotides long. NCBI's taxonomy places the organism in Eukaryota, Metazoa, Chordata, Aves, Passeriformes, Paridae. The record is from RefSeq and is a predicted model, not a curated record.
GGCGGCGGCGGCCGGAGCGGGCUCAUUGUGCCCUGGGGGCGGCCAUCUUGGGCGUCGCAAAACACGGCGCGCCGUAAAGCGAGGGCGGCGAGGCGGGGGCUGCAGACGGGCGCGCUGGUGUCCUCAGACAGCGAGCUCUGCCCGCUGUCCCCUGCCCUCAGAACCCGCGGGGAUAAAGCGCCGUCGCUUCAUUCCCCACUCUGUGCUUGUUGCUUUCCAGAGCCAUGGCAGAGGGUCCCGCUGGAGGGGUAACGCUCCCCGCGCCUACUCCCGGCUCCCGGCUGGUUGGGGGUGUCCCACAGAACGGGAUGUGCUCUGCCUGUGCCCAGGGUUGCUUCAAGGACCAGCGGGGAAGAGAGGGCAGGGUGUUCGGCCUGUAGUCUUCAGCUGCAUAGUCAUGAUUUCUGUGCAUUUAUUUUUUGCUGUUUGUUUGGUCAGGAUUUCGAAUAGGUUUCUCAGGGAGUUUGGUGGGCUCACCAGUGUCUUCAGGAGGCACCUGGAUCUGGCACUGGGUGAUGUGGUUUAGGGGAGACAGUGCUGGUCUGAUGCUCGGACUGACGGCUGAUGUGCUGAUCUUGACGGUCUUCUCCAACCCCGCUGAUCCUCUGUGUUGUAUGGUGCUCUGCUCUGAGCCAGCUGAGGGGGUUAUGAACAGGCUCCUUCUGAGCUGAGGAGGUACUUGCAACCAAACAGUGAACUUCAAAGAGACAGCUAAUUUUGAGGACACAAGUGAAGACUUCAGGAUCCCGUAGUGUGACCUGCUGUAUAUCAUGUAGUCUUUCCUUAAUUCUUAAAAUUAAAAUUCUUAAAGCACGGCCAUCACCAAUGCCUCUUUGCAGGUACCUUCCCCCAAAACUUUGGUGAAUUCAGAGAAUAUAUGUUCUAUUUUAGAGAAUAGAUUUAAUGGAGAAUUCCCAGGCUAUCUUCAGAAACUGUGUUUAAGUGACUUCCUCACACCCACAGAUACCUCUAAUGCUACACAGAUACCCACAGAAAGAAUAUGAUCUGUCUUUACAAUCACUGACAUCCGUUCCUUCUAUAUCUUCAAGGCUUUGUUGCAACAAAUCAUGCAAAGUUUUGAGGAGAAAACUGUCCUUUUGACUACAGUCAUAUUGAAAAUGAGGGUGUUACAUUUCCUAUUUUUGGAAAUACAAGAUACAGGUCACUUAAUUUUGUUUGCGUUAUUCCACAUGAUAUAAAAAGAGUUACAUUGAAGGAUACUGUAAAAGAAGAUGCAAAUGGAAAAUAAUCCCAUCAGAGAGAAAGAUGUCCAGGAAAGCACAACAUAACUCUUGCAGUUGCAAGGGAGAAGCUGCUAAAAAGGAACACCCUUACCUGUUUUUCAAUAACAUGAUGUUUGUUGUUUUGACACCUGGGACAACUCCAGUGCUCUAAAAGGUACUGUUCUAAAGAAGGGCUUUGACUGUGGAGUCAGCAACACCUGGACAUGCCUGUGGUGUCUCAUAAGUGGCCUCUCCCAAUAGAGAGGGGAAAAACUAGAAUAGAGGAAACUGUGAGAACUGGAAAGGUAACUUAAGAGUUAAGUUUCUGGUGUCAAAUCCUUGCUUUCUGUGCUGCCUGUCUCUGAGAGAAAAAAGCUUUGCUUUGAAGGAGCUGCCACUGAGGCAGUUUAGUUAGCUGGUGUCACAGAACAAACUGUUGCUAAAUAGGGAAUUUCAGCUCAUAAACACAGUUUAGAAAUGACAGAAUGCAGUGGCAUGUUUCUGUGCAGAAAGCCUAAGUUAAUGAAAAUUGCCGGAGGGAUGCACUUAAGAGGAGCUACCAAGGCACCUCAUCCUGUAAUGGUGACAAGUUCCUUGAUUCAUUUCCUGAGCCAUAUCCAUUUUUGCACUUAAUGUGGUAAGUGUUCUGUGAAAAACUUAACAUGAUUAUGCAAUUAAAGUCUGCUUAAAAUAAUACGUAUAAACUGGGGAGAAUUAGGGUUCCAUGGGCAGUAAACCUACCAUCUCCUAAUGUGUGAGACUUUAACUUUUUAAAAUUGCUGCUCUUUGUUCUAAAAAACUGAAUGCCUCUGUACUCUUUGUGUAGAAUUCUUCUAAGUCCAAAUGGUUUUGAACUAGAGCAAAACCCUCGUUAUCCACAACUCUGCACACUAUCACUAGGGCUUUCUCAGGAUUCACCAGCAGUAAGUUGAUGUUCUUUAAAAGUAGCAAUCGCUAGAGAAAUAAAGCAAAUAUUUUGUCA